AGCGAGACGGAAGGAGAGAACGGCGCUCAGGGCGCUCUGUUUUCUUUCGGGUUGUCCUCGCGGCUUCCGGUCCGCCGGGUCUCCUUCUCGGGCUGCUACAGCUGCGUUAUGUCGCGGCGGGCCUUGAGGCGGCUGCGAGGGGAGUCGCGGGGCCAGGCGCUGCCGGAGGAGGAGCCGCCGCCGCCGCCAGUCUUGGGGAGGCCCGAGGCGGAGGCGGAGGAGCAGGCGGCAGGAGGCCGCCGGCGGCGGCGGCAGGCGGCGGCCGGGCGCGUCGCCAACCUGUUCGAGCUGAUAACCAGUGAAGAACCAGAGGAUGAGCUGCCAUUCAGAGAGGAGAAAGAUGAUUCCAGGCUGCAGGAGGAAGAUGACACAGGGAACAAAGAGGUGGAACCUGGAAGUCUGGAGAGGGACAGACAGAAAGAAGGAGAAGAGGCUGAGCAACUGGACCAAAUGCCUGUUUCAAAUAACAAACCACGGAAGAAAAAGAAAAAAAGGAAGAAUAAGAAGAAUGCGUCAGGAGAGACUCUGGUAAAAUUUGCAGCAGGUCUGGGGGCUGAGCAGCGAGAGGCAUGUGGCCAGUGCAGGCA
This 587-nucleotide long non-coding RNA is filed under the name Varanus komodoensis (Komodo dragon). RNAcentral describes it as "lncRNA (ENSVKKG00000006011.1)". Lineage: Eukaryota; Metazoa; Chordata; Lepidosauria; Squamata; Varanidae. The record is from RNAcentral.